RNAcentral lists this ribosomal RNA (740 nucleotides) under uncultured bacterium. Its description in RNAcentral is "bacterial SSU rRNA". It matches the Rfam family "Bacterial small subunit ribosomal RNA", at positions 697 to 1429 of the family's 1533-position model. The record is from RNAcentral.
UCAGGAAGANCACCGGUGGCGAAGGCGGGUCUCUGGGCCGUUACUGACGCUGAGGAGCGAAAGCGUGGGGAGCGAACAGGAUUAGAUACCCUGGUAGUCCACGCCGUAAACGUUGGGCACUAGAUGUGGGGGGCCUUUUCCGGGUCUUCCGCGCCGUAGCUAACGCAUUAAGCGCCCCGCCUGGGGAGUACGGCCGCAAGGCUAAAACUCAAAGGAAUUGACGGGGGCCCGCACAAGCGGCGGAGCAUGCGGAUUAAUUCGAUGCAACGCGAAGAACCUUACCAAGGCUUGACAUGUGCCGGUCGGCUCCGGAGACGGGGUUUCCUCCUUGUGGGGCCGGUUCACAGGUGGUGCAUGGUUGUCGUCAGCUCGUGUCGUGAGAUGUUGGGUUAAGUCCCGCAACGAGCGCAACCCUUGUCCCGUGUUGCCAGCACGUUGUGGUGGGGACUCGCGGGAGACUGCCGGGGUCAACUCGGAGGAAGGUGGGGAUGAUGUCAAAUCAUCAUGCCCCUUAUGUCUUGGGCUUCACGCAUGCUACAAUGGCCGGUACAGAGGGCUGCGAUACCGUGAGGUGGAGCGAAUCCCUUAAAGCCGGUCUCAGUUCGGAUCGGUGUCUGCAACUCGACACCGUGAAGUUGGAGUCGCUAGUAAUCGCAGAUCAGCAACGCUGCGGUGAAUACGUUCUCGGGCCUUGUACACACCGCCCGUCACGUCAUGAAAGUCGGCAACACCCGAAGCCC